This 522-nucleotide ribosomal RNA is filed under the name uncultured bacterium. RNAcentral's name for it is "bacterial SSU rRNA". It matches the Rfam family "Bacterial small subunit ribosomal RNA", at positions 27 to 518 of the family's 1533-position model. The record is from RNAcentral.
GGACGAACGCUGGCGGCGUGCCUAAUACAUGCAAGUCGAACGGUCUUUCUAUGGAAGCUUGCUUCCACUGAAAAGAUAGUGGCGAACGGGUGAGUAACACGUGGGUAACCUGCCCAUAAGAGGGGGGAGUAACAUCCGGAAACGGGUGCUAAUACCGCAUAGUUUUCUUGAUCGCAUGAUCGGGAAAGGAAAGACGGCCUUUGUGCUGUCGCUUAUGGAUGGACCCGCGGCGUAUUAGUUAGUUGGUGAGGUAACGGCUCACCAAGACGAUGAUACGUAGCCGACCUGAGAGGGUGAUCGGCCACAUUGGGACUGAGACACGGCCCAAACUCCUACGGGAGGCAGCAGUAGGGAAUCUUCCGCAAUGGACGAAAGUCUGACGGAGCAACGCCGCGUGAGUGAAGAAAAGGGUUUUCGGAUCGUAAAACUCUGUUGUCAGAGAAGAACAAGUUGGAGAGUAACUGCUCCAGCCUUGACGGUAUCUGACCAGAAAGCCACGGCUAACUACGUGCCAGCAGCCGC